GUUCAGCUGACGAGUCGAAAACAGGGAGAAACACACGUCCUGGAU
RNAcentral lists this non-coding RNA (45 nucleotides) under Schistosoma mansoni. Lineage: Eukaryota; Metazoa; Platyhelminthes; Trematoda; Strigeidida; Schistosomatidae. The record is from RNAcentral.